CUGCGGCGGAUUAGCUAGUUGGUGGGGUAACGGCCUACCAAGGCGAUGAUCCGUAGGGGGCGUGAGAGCGUGGCCCCCCACACUGGCACUGAGACACGGGCCAGACUCCUACGGGAGGCAGCAGUGAGGAAUAUUGCACAAUGGGCGGAAGCCUGAUGCAGCAACGCCGCGUGAGGGACGAAGGCCUUCGGGUCGUAAACCUCUUUUCUGGGGGACGAGUAAGGACGGUACCCCAGGAAUAAGUCUCGGCUAACUACGUGCCAGCAGCCGCGGUAAAACGUAGGAGGCGAGCGUUAUCCGGAUUUACUGGGCGUAAAGCGCGCGCAGGUGGCUUCGUGAGUCGGACAUGAAAGCUCCUGGCUUAACUGGGAGAGGCUGUUCGAUACUGCGGGGCUUGAGGUUGGGAGAGGGACGCGGAAUUCCCGGUGUAGUGGUGGAAUGCGUAGAUAUCGGGAGGAACACCAGUGGCGCAAGCGGCGUCCUGGCCCACACCUGACGCUGAGGUGCGAAAGCGUGGGUAGCAAACAGGAUUAGAUACCCUGGUAGUCCACGCUGUAAACGAUGUCAACUGGGUGUCGGUAGUUUUACACUAUCGGUGCCGAAGCUAACGCG
RNAcentral lists this ribosomal RNA (612 nucleotides) under uncultured bacterium. Its description in RNAcentral is "bacterial SSU rRNA". It matches the Rfam family "Bacterial small subunit ribosomal RNA", at positions 231 to 859 of the family's 1533-position model. The record is from RNAcentral.